AGAGUUUGAUCCUGGCUCAGGAUGAACGCUGGCGGCGUGCUUAACACAUGCAAGUCGAACGAACCUUCGGGUUAGUGGCGGACGGGUGAGUAACGCGUGAGAAUCUGCCCUCAGGAGGGGGGUAACGGCUGGAAACGGCCGCUAAUACCCCAUAUGCCGAGAGGUGAAACGAGUUUUCGCCUGAGGAUGAGCUCGCGUCUGAUUAGCUAGUUGGUGAGGUAAUGGCUCACCAAGGCAUCGAUCAGUAGCUGGUCUGAGAGGAUGAUCAGCCACACUGGGACUGAGACACGGCCCAGACUCCUACGGGAGGCAGCAGUGGGGAAUUUUCCGCUAUGGGCGAAAGCCUGACGGAGCAACGCCGCGUGAGGGAUGAAGGCCUCUGGGCUGUAAACCUCUUUUCUCAAGGAAGAAGACCUGACGGUACUUGAGGAAUAAGCCACGGCUAAUUCCGUGCCAGCAGCCGCGGUAAUACGGGAGUGGCAAGCGUUGUCCGGAAUUAUUGGGCGUAAAGCGUCCGCAGGCGGCCUUUUAAGUCUGUUGUCAAAGCGUGGAGCUUAACUCCAUUUCGGCAAUGGAAACUGGGAGGCUUGAGUGUGGUAGGGGCAGAGGGAAUUCCCGGUGUAGCGGUGAAAUGCGUAGAUAUCGGGAAGAACACCAGUGGCGAAGGCGCUCUGCUGGGCCAUAACUGACGCUCAUGGACGAAAGCCAGGGGAGCGAAAGGGAUUAGAUACCCCUGUAGUCCUGGCCGUAAACGAUGAACACUAGGUGUCGGGGGAAUCGACCCCCUCGGUGUCGUAGCCAACGCGUUAAGUGUUCCGCCUGGGGAGUACGCACGCAAGUGUGAAACUCAAAGGAAUUGACGGGGGCCCGCACAAGCGGUGGAGUAUGUGGUUUAAUUCGAUGCAACGCGAAGAACCUUACCAGGGUUUGACAUCCUGCGAAUCCCUUGGAAACUUGGGAGUGCCUUCGGGAGCGCAGAGACAGGUGGUGCAUGGCUGUCGUCAGCUCGUGUCGUGAGAUGUUGGGUUAAGUCCCGCAACGAGCGCAACCCACGUCUUUAGUUGCCAUUGAGUUGGGCACUCUAGAGAGACCGCCGGUGAUAAACCGGAGGAAGGUGUGGAUGACGUCAAGUCAUCAUGCCCCUUACAUCCUGGGCUACACACGUACUACAAUGCUACGGACAGAGGGCAGCAAACUCGCGAGAGCUAGCAAAUCCCAUAAACCGUGGCUCAGUUCAGAUCGUAGGCUGCAACUCGCCUACGUGAAGGAGGAAUCGCUAGUAAUCGCAGGUCAGCAUACUGCGGUGAAUACGUUCCCGGGCCUUGUACACACCGCCCGUCACACCAUGGAAGUUGGCCACGCCCGAAGCCGUUACUCCAACCCUUGUGGAGGAGGACGUCGAAGGUGGGGCUGAUGACUGGGGUGAAGUCGUAACAAGGUA
Molecule: ribosomal RNA, 1441 nt
Filed under: metagenome
Description: bacterial SSU rRNA
Rfam family: Bacterial small subunit ribosomal RNA
Source: RNAcentral